Long non-coding RNA from Taeniopygia guttata (zebra finch), 1443 nucleotides. RefSeq lists it as uncharacterized. Lineage: Eukaryota; Metazoa; Chordata; Aves; Passeriformes; Estrildidae. The record is from RefSeq and is a predicted model, not a curated record.
CUGGUGGCCUGUCCCCUUUGAGAACGACGAAAACACUUUCCUAAGACCCUUGUUACUGUCACUCCCUGGAAUUCAGCCAGCUGGAACAGCCUGUGCCUGCUCCAGGGGUGAUGGAGCCCAGCCUGGUGUUUGCAGGGGUUGAGGAGAGAGGUGGUUUGGAUACCCUGGAUGUUGGAAUCCCUGUGCCAGGGAGACUGUGGCACUCCCAGACUUGUGCACGCUAUUUCCCUAUGAUUUAUUGUAAUCCUAAUGGAGCAGCUGAGGGAAAUUGGCAGGGUUGGGAUGGGGGAGGAGGAGAGGGGCUCGUUACCCUGGGAGUAACAGAGCGUCUGACUCCGACUGGGAGCCCAACAGGAGCAGGGCUUUGGAGCAGCGGGAUUGGAUGUGCUGCGCCUGGGGGCGGUGGCAAUGACAACAAACUGAAUAAUAAUAAAAAGCUUCCCAUGUUCCCAGCUAUUCCUGGAGCCUUGUUCCUUGUCCAAAUUCCCCAGAGGAGGGGUUGGUUUGCUGUUAGGUUUAGGAGAAUCCUUAACCCUGGAAUCUGUUGGCUUUUUUUCAGGUCAAGCAGCUGGAUGGGCUCUUUGUUGAUGGAAUCCUUCCUGACACGUUUCUGGGAUCUCCAGAGCUCCAAGGCUGCCUACAAUGGUCCAGACUUUUCCUGGGAGCUGAUAUGGAGAAUUCCACGGCUGUGGUGUGGGACAGCCCCACGCCGUAUCCGUGUGUUGAGGAAUGAUGCUCCAGCUGCAAGAACACCACAAAAUUCCCUCUCCCUCAUAUUCCCAGGUCAUUCCUGCACAAAGGGCACAGAUCCAUCCAGAGGUGUAGGAUUCCCAGGAAUGUGUGCACAUCACCACGCCAUGGCUCCAGGCACUUAAACCCAGACUCAACCCUUUUCCACAGGCUGGGAAGCUCUGAAAUGAAUGGAUUUGCUCCAGAGGUUGGAGGUAGGGACAGAUCCAUGAGAAAAUCAUGGGAAAUCACGUCUUUUGUGACAGGCUCAAAUUAAUUCUUUAAUUCCCUUAAAUGGUUCGCCACUCACCCUCUGUGUCAUGACAGCAGGGGAAAAAUGGGAUUUCUGAGGGCAUUAAUCCCUCCCUUAAUGCUUUAGAGGGCAUCCAGUUUAUCCAAAACAUUCCAAAAUUGCCUGUAAAUGGUGUCACUGCCACACAGGAGUCAGGCAGCAGAGCCCUGGGGGUCACUGGGAUGAAUCCCAAGGCUGGAGCUGGGCUAUAAAUGCGGUCUGGCCUUUGCAAUUCGGUGGAGCCAGGCUGGAAACAGGCAGCUGGAGCUGCUGGAAUGCAGAAAUCCUGAGCUGUAUCGGAUUAAUCGCCUUGUGUCCCUUAAUUGGCAGGAUCUGGGCUGGGAUGUGCUCUACCCCACCGCUUGGAAAGCCUCGGAUGGCUUCUGAUUGUAUUUCCCCGAAUAAAAGAGUAAUUUCCAGUC